AUACUUCUAAGAAGAAGGGGAAGGGUAUACAAAGGUCAAAAUCUAGAAAUAGAGCUAGAAAAUGUUAUGGUUGUGGUAAAAUUGGUCACCACAUUAAGGACUGUUUUAAAAAGAAAAAUGAGCAAAGAGAGGUUAAAAUUGAUGAAGAGAACAUAGUUGAGCCUCUAGGUGAGGGUACUGUUGAUGUCUAUAAUGUAACUAAAUCCACAUCUAAUUUGAACUCUGCAAAUUAUGCAGAUAAUUCAAAUCAGAGUGUAGAAUGGAUCUUAGAUUCAGGUUGUAUCUUUCAUAUAACCUCUAAAAGGCAUUGGUUGCUUGAUUUUAAGGACUUAGACGGUGGUGAGGUAGUUAUGGGUAAUAAUGCAACCUGUAAAGUGUUGGGAAUAGACAGUGUGACUUUAAAAUUCGAAAAUGGGUAUACAUUUACCUUAGAAAUGAUGAGGCAUGUACCAUAUUUAAAUAGAAAUCUGAUUUCAGUUGGGAACUUAGAUGAUAUAGGUCUCCAAGAAAAAUUUGGAGAUGGUUUCUUGAAAAUAGUUAAGGAAUCUUUAGUUAUUUUCAAGGGUAUUAAAAGAAAUGGGAUCUAUGUCACUAAGGCAAAUGUGUUUAGUCAUACUGCAGAAUCCUCUAUGGCUGAGAAUGACGCUACUUUGAAAUGGCAUAAUAGGUUAGCCUAUGUGAGUAAGAAAGGCUUACACAUCUUAAGUCAAAAAGGUGCCUUUGAUAGUGACGUGAUUUCAAAAAUUCUCUUUUGUGAAUAUUGUACCUUAGGCAAACAGCAUAGACUACACUUUAGUACAAGGAAACAUAGGACAACAUCUAUCUUAGAGUAUAUACAUUCUGAUUUGUGGGUUCCAUCAUCCACCACCUCUCAAGGUGGGAAUAGGUACUUUUUAUCCUUAAUUGAUGAUUUUUCAAGAAAAGUACGGGUAUUUCUUUUGAAACAAAAAUUAG
This 954-nucleotide long non-coding RNA is filed under the name Olea europaea (common olive). Its description in RNAcentral is "long non-coding RNA (OEUR_LNC000783)". Lineage: Eukaryota; Viridiplantae; Streptophyta; Magnoliopsida; Lamiales; Oleaceae. The record is from RNAcentral.